This 1677-nucleotide long non-coding RNA is filed under the name Apis florea (little honeybee). RNAcentral describes it as "uncharacterized LOC116415514". Lineage: Eukaryota; Metazoa; Arthropoda; Insecta; Hymenoptera; Apidae. The record is from RNAcentral.
UGACAUAACAAGAUGGUAAGAUCAUGAUAAUUUGAGUAUAAUUGAAAUGUGAAGAUUAAUUUUGUAUGUUUAAACUCAUUUCUCUAAGAAUUUAUGAAUUUAUGAUAUUUGUUAUUGAGAAUGCUUAAUUGAAAAAUACAACAAGAAUAUAACUCAACUCUGCCAUCUAGUAGUGUCUACUCUAUCGUUAUCAAAUAUAUUUUUAUAUAAAAUGACAAAUGGCCUCUGAAAAAGCUAACCGUAAUAUUUUAAUUUUAGAAUAGAAUUUCUAAAAAAAUUCACCAGAAUUCUAUAAACAAUAACUAAUUUCAAAAUAAACUAGAUGCUGAAAAUCUAUCAAAUUUAUGAUAUGGAGGUUGUUGCCGAUGAGCUAAAGGAAGGCUGUAUGGUUAAGAGUCAAACAAAAUCGUGGAUUUACGUGGAGACGACGCCUAUCAUGGAAACGACAAUGAACCUUUGGUAGUUUUCACGAGCACAGGGGAUAAGCAAAGCCUCGUAAAUUAGCCACGUCGCAUCAAGCCCGAUAAUUAAGGCGAAGCGCCGUUAAAGACGCCGGGGCCACGCUGUUUCGGAACUUGGCCACCGUCCAACGAAGAGAGACGUGUGUGCCAGGAACACGUGCGUGAAGUUGCCUCACCCGUGAAUCACGAGCUCGAAGCGGAUCCGCGCCGAUGAAUUUCUGGAGCGGGCCACGCAUGUAUCCGACGAAAUCAUACUUGGUAAGUGUUGUAUGCGUCUUGGAAACGCCGGAGCUCGAGAAUAAUUCUCUUUCGUUACCGAGAAAUCAUUAAGUUCUGUUCGUGAAACGCCAGUUUGAUGAUUCGAGGACCUUUGCAAUUAGUUUGUUUGGAUAUUUAUGGUUCUACUGUCAUAUUUCGUGAAAUUUUCCAUGAAGAAGUUGGCGCCAUCUAUCGUGUGAAAUAAUAUAUACUUAUAAUAUGAUUCGUAUCAUAAUGUAAGGAAAGAAGAUGAAAAAACAUGCACUGUACAAUGAAACCUAAUCUCCAAAUUGAUUCAUGCCAUCUAUCAUAUCAAAUAGCAAUAUACUUAUAAUAUAACUCAUAUCAUAAUGUAAGAAAAGAAGAUAAAGAAAUACAUACUAUACAGUGAAACUUUCAUAAAAUGAAACCUAACCUACAAAUUGAUUCAUGCUGUUAUCAAAUGGCAUUAUACACUUGUAAUAUAACUCAUCAUUAUAAAAUAAAAAAGAAAGUGUCAUCUAUCUAACCAAAUACCAAUUAUGUAUUCAUUAUCGUCAUUCCUGUAAAAUUUGCAGUGUAAUCGUAAAAUUAACAUGUAUCUCGAAUCGUGCCAGAUUCACUUCCCAAAAGAAACCAACAAUCAGUUUGAAACGCAAAAUUAGUUGAAUUACUGCCAUUGAUAAAUAUGUAUAGAAGUCUCUAUCGUAUCUCACGUAACGAUAUAUACCGUGCAAUGGAAGUUGACCGAGAGAUUUUAUCUUCCACUUCAUAAAACGAGGCGGAUUUCGAUCUUGUAAGCGCGCAUUUGUAUAGGCUGAUCCACCCAAUUGGAACUACUUGGCUGACGUUUGUGAAGUUGCCAAGAGGGAUUCUCUGGCAUUGGACGAGCGAGAAAAAGGAAUAAAUGCCGGAAAAUAAAAAAAAACAUGUAUCAAGUGGAAAAUGCAUAUUUUGAUAUAUUUUUGAAUUUUUUUUU